CAACCGCCCGCUUGAAGGAAAGAAAGUUUUUCCGAUUCGUAAAAACUUUUGUUGUUAGAAGAGGAACGGUUGUAGGAGUAACUGUUCCAGCAGUGACCGUUAUCUAACCAGAAAACCACGGCUAACUACGUGCCAGCAGCCGCGGUAAUACGUAGGUGGCAAGCGUUGUCCGGAUUUAUUGGGCGUAAAGGGAACGCAGGCGGUUUUUUAAGUCUGAUGUGAAAGCCUUCGGCUUAACCGAAGUCAUGCAUUGGAAACUGAAAGACUUGAGUGCAGAAGAGGAGAGUGGAACUCCAUGUGUAGCGGUGAAAUGCGUAGAUAUAUGGAAGAACACCAGUGGCGAAAGCGGCUCUCUGGUCUGUAACUGACGCUGAGGUUCGAAAGUGUGGGUAGCAAACAGGAUUAGAUACCCUGGUAGUCCACACCGUAAACGAUGAAUGCUAAGUGUUGGAGGGUUUCCGCCCUUCGGUGCUGCAGCUAACGCAUUAAGCAUUCCGCCUGGGGAGUACGACCGCAAGGUUGAAACUCAAAGGAAUUGACGGGGGCCCGCACAAGCGGUGGAGCAUGUGGUUUAAUUCGAAGCAACGCGAAGAACCUUACCAGGUCUUGACAUCUUCUGACAGCCUAAGAGAUUAGGUGUUCCCUUCGGGGACAGAAUGACAGGUGGUGCAUGGUUGUCGUCAGCUCGUGUCGUGAGAUGUUGGGUUAAGUCCCGCAACGAGCGCAACCCUUAUUAUUAGUUGCCAGCAUUAAGUUGGGCACUCUAGUGAGACUGCCGGUGACAAACCGGAGGAAGGUGGGGAUGACGUCAAAUCAUCAUGCCCCUUAUGACCUGGGCUACACACGUGCUACAAUGGACGGUACAACGAGUCGCGAAACCGCGAGGUUUAGCUAAUCUCUUAAAGCCGUUCUCAGUUCGGAUUGUAGGCUGCAACUCGCCUACAUGAAGUCGGAAUCGCUAGUAAUCGCGGAUCAGCAUGCCGCGGUGAAUACGUUCCCGGGCCUUGUACACACCGCCCGUCACACCAUGAGAGUUUGUAACACCCAAAGCCGGUGAGGUAACCUUUAUGGGGCCAGCCGUCUAAGGUGACAGAUGUGAA
This 1100-nucleotide ribosomal RNA is filed under the name Liquorilactobacillus mali. RNAcentral describes it as "bacterial SSU rRNA". It matches the Rfam family "Bacterial small subunit ribosomal RNA", at positions 389 to 1475 of the family's 1533-position model. The record is from RNAcentral. Lineage: Bacteria; Bacillati; Bacillota; Bacilli; Lactobacillales; Lactobacillaceae.